CUAACAUGAACAUGCAGUGACAAUGCUAACAUGCUGAUUUUAUGCUUGGCAUGAAAUUAGGCGUCAUAACCUCAAAGUUAAGAAGAUCUGCAAUGAUUUGGAGAGCCCCUCUAGCAAGAUAUUGCAGCAGGUGGAGAACUGGCUCAUAUGCCGUUAGGCCAAACUCACUGAGGGUGCAGAAUCCAAGAUGGUGCAGUUGGAGUCUAUUCGUGUGGCAAAAGAGUUAA
RNAcentral lists this long non-coding RNA (227 nucleotides) under Oreochromis niloticus (Nile tilapia). RNAcentral's name for it is "lncRNA (ENSONIG00000035454.1)". The record is from RNAcentral. Lineage: Eukaryota; Metazoa; Chordata; Actinopteri; Cichliformes; Cichlidae.